GACGAACGCUGGCGGCGUGCUUAACUCAUGCAAGUCGAACGGUAAGGCUCUUCGGGGUACACGAGUGGCGAACGGGUGAGUAACACGUGGGUGAUCUGCCCUGCACUUCGGGAUAAGCCUGGGAAACUGGGUCUAAUACCGGAUAGGACCACUGCAUGCAUGGGUGGUGGUGGAAAGCUUUUGCGGUGUGGGAUGGGCCCGCGGCCUAUCAGCUUGUUGGUGGGGGUAUGGCCUACCAAGGCGACGACGGGUAGCCGGCCUGAGAGGGUGACCGGCCACACUGGGACUGAGAUACGGCCCAGACUCCUACGGGAGGCAGCAGUGGGGAAUAUUGCACAAUGGGCGCAAGCCUGAUGCAGCGACGCCGCGUGAGGGAUGACGGCCUUCGGGUUGUAAACCUCUUUCAGCACCGACGAAGCGCAAGUGACGGUAGGUGCAGAAGAAGGACCGGCCAACUACGUGCCAGCAGCCGCCGUAA
RNAcentral lists this ribosomal RNA (478 nucleotides) under uncultured bacterium. RNAcentral describes it as "partial 16S ribosomal RNA". It matches the Rfam family "Bacterial small subunit ribosomal RNA", at positions 28 to 523 of the family's 1533-position model. The record is from RNAcentral.